Molecule: ribosomal RNA, 424 nt
Filed under: Salmonella enterica subsp. enterica serovar Typhimurium
Lineage: Bacteria; Pseudomonadati; Pseudomonadota; Gammaproteobacteria; Enterobacterales; Enterobacteriaceae
Description: bacterial SSU rRNA
Rfam family: Bacterial small subunit ribosomal RNA
Source: RNAcentral
CCUUGAUUCAGCGGCGGACGGGUGAGUAAUACCUAGGAAUCUGCCUGGUAGUGGGGGACAACGUUUCGAAAGGAACGCUAAUACCGCAUACGUCCUACGGGAGAAAGCAGGGGACCUUCGGGCCUUGCGCUAUCAGAUGAGCCUAGGUCGGAUUAGCUAGUUGGUGAGGUAAUGGCUCACCAAGGCUACGAUCCGUAACUGGUCUGAGAGGAUGAUCAGUCACACUGGAACUGAGACACGGUCCAGACUCCUACGGGAGGCAGCAGUGGGGAAUAUUGGACAAUGGGCGAAAGCCUGAUCCAGCCAUGCCGCGUGUGUGAAGAAGGUCUUCGGAUUGUAAAGCACUUUAAGUUGGGAGGAAGGGCAUUAACCUAAUACGUUAGUGUUUUGACGUUACCGACAGAAUAAGCACCGGCUAACUCUG